CCCAACAGACACAUACCACAAUGUAAACUCAUACACAUACACACACACACAAUCCACACCCACCCAUACUCACCCACCUACACACAGACACACACACACACACACACACACUCCAGUGGACCAACACAUGAAACACUCCACAGGCAAAGACAUUAUCCAUCAGUGCACUACACACUUCUGUAAAUUAUCAGGACUCCUCAAUUGAGGUGAGUCUACAGAGAUUUCAAAGGCUAUUUGAGUGCUAAGCUAUCUAACUACUGGUUGGACACUAUUUAAAUAAUGCGUUAAACACAACUCUUGAGGCUCUGAAGAAUUUCUAUGCUUUCCAAUGAACCAGGAGUUACAAGGUCCUGAAAACCACAAGUGUGUUACAUCCUUUAAUAGAUAAAGCAAAGCUGAUAUUAAUGUGAAUAUACUUUAUAUUUACUUCUAUUCGUGUUAAUUUUUCUUUGCCUGUAAUAUACAUUUUCAUAUAACGGGGAAUAAGAAACAUCUUAGGAAAAAGAAAACAAAAAAUAAAAUUUUGCUGUUUACACUGUGCCUUGGUCCAGUAACCCUGCACUGCACAUAUACACUUUAAAUUGGUGUCUUGGGGAACCACUUCGGUAUUUCAUUUUAAUAGUGCAUCCUGGAGAAUAUAUUUGAGUGGAUCACAUAUUACAACUGAUUUAAAUUUUGACCCAUAUAGAAAUAAGUUUUCAAAAAUAUGUCUGAAGCCUGGAUACUGUAAAAAUGUUUAUCAUCAUAGAAAAAUAAAAGGUUAGCCAUUAGUUACUCAGAAAUUGUUCAGUAAAUCUAAGACAACUUAGACAUAAAUAGUUAUGAGUGAAUAUAGUUCAUUAUUAAUGUUUGUAAAAAUUAAUGCUGUCUUUUAUGGUUGAGUAAAACUAGAAAUGUAACUUAAUUUGAUAGAGAUAAAUGACAUAAACUUUACAUAAAGCAAGAGAAUAAUAGAUGUGUAAAAAUGUUUUAUAGAUAAGAUUUUAAGAUGAAAUUGUGCUAAAUAACAUGAAUCAAAUGUGUUUUGCAUACUACAUCUGCAGCUACAACAUCACAGCCUUUUAAGUAUUUCAUUAACUUCAAAAUGUAACUUAUUGCUGAAACAAUAUGAUUUAAUGAAUUGAGAUAACGGGUAAUGAUUGGUGUCAGCUGAAAGCAAUGCUACACUUUUAAAGUUAGAUUUCUUUGUGUAUUAAUACAAACACCAGAGAAGAUGGUCAAUAAAGUAAUUACUGUACAAUGACUAUCAUAAUACUUAAACCUGGAAGAAAAUCAGUAAAUGUUAAGUGAAUAGAAUUGGUGAAUUGCUUCCAUUUUAUACAAUUUUUUGUUCAUUUUAGGGCUUACCAAAACUUGCAGCUCUGAAUAAGGCCCAA
Molecule: long non-coding RNA, 1376 nt
Filed under: Homo sapiens (human)
Lineage: Eukaryota; Metazoa; Chordata; Mammalia; Primates; Hominidae
Description: HSALNT0035708
Source: RNAcentral